CAAUAGCGUAUAUUAAAGUUGUUGCGGUUAAAAAGCUCGUAGUUGGAUUUCUGCCGAGGACGACCGGUCCGCCCUCCGGGUGAGUAUCUGGCUCGGCCUGGGCAUCUUCUUGGAGAACGUAGCUGCACUUGGCUGUGUGGUGCGGUAUUCAGGACUUUUACUUUGAGGAAAUUAGAGUGUUUCAAGCAGGCAUACGCCUUGAAUACAUUAGCAUGGAAUAAUAAGAUAGGACCUCGGUUCUAUUUUGUUGGUUUCUAGAUCUGAGGUAAUGAUUAAUAGGGAUAGUUGGGGGCAUUCGUAUUUAACUGUCAGAGGUGAAAUUCUUGGAUUUGUUAAAGACGGGCUACUGCGAAAGCAUUUGCCAAGGAUGUUUUCAUUGA
This 380-nucleotide ribosomal RNA is filed under the name uncultured eukaryote. Its description in RNAcentral is "partial 18S ribosomal RNA". It matches the Rfam family "Eukaryotic small subunit ribosomal RNA", at positions 592 to 976 of the family's 1831-position model. The record is from RNAcentral.